Molecule: unclassified non-coding RNA, 142 nt
Filed under: soil metagenome
Description: partial internal transcribed spacer 1
Source: RNAcentral
CUGAGUUUCUAACUCUCCAAACCAUGUGAACUUACCACUGUUGCCUCGGUGGAUGGUGCUCUCUCGGGAGUGCUGCCGCCGGCGGACAAACCAAGCUCUUUGUAUAUCAUGUCAUUCUGAAUCAAAACUAAGAAAUAAGUUA